GCUCAGCGAAUCAUAUACUUCGAUUCCGAUCUCAUCAUCGUUGAUGACUUGCUGAAAUGCUCCAACUCGUUCGACCAAAGUGUUAGCGAAAUGGUUCGUCAAUUUAACACCUAUUAUAAUUCAAUUCUAUUAUGUGUUCAAGAGAUUGAUGCGUUUUAAAUUGAUGACUAUUCUUUUCAUGUUCAAGAGAUUAGUAAUGAUAUGUCAUCUAAUGUUCUUAUAUCAUUUUGGAUUUCAGAGUGCUUAAGGGAUAUGUAUAUACUGGAUUUGAAUUGAAUGGUAUAAAAUCACAUGAGUUCGACGGCUACUUAAUCUUGAGGAAUUUAUAGUUUUGAUUGUGUUUUAGACUUUGUUGAAGUUGAAAUGAUGAAUUUUUAAAAGAAAAAAAAAAUUGGGGUAUUUUUUUAUGAAGGUUUUUAUAUGAAGGUUAUCCAACAAUCUCCUU
RNAcentral lists this long non-coding RNA (445 nucleotides) under Medicago truncatula (barrel medic). RNAcentral describes it as "long non-coding RNA (MTRU_LNC002477)". The record is from RNAcentral. Lineage: Eukaryota; Viridiplantae; Streptophyta; Magnoliopsida; Fabales; Fabaceae.